GAUGAACGCUAGCGGCAGGCUUAACACAUGCAAGUCGAGGGGUAGAGGAAGCUUGCUUCCUUGAGACCGGCGCACGGGUGCGUAACGCGUAUGCAAUCUACCUUUUGCAGAGGAUAGCCCAGAGAAAUUUGGAUUAAUACCUCAUAGUAUGUGAGGAUGGCAUCAUUUUCACAUUAAAGUCACAACGGCAAAAGAUGAGCAUGCGUCCCAUUAGCUAGUUGGUAAGGUAACGGCUUACCAAGGCUACGAUGGGUAGGGGUCCUGAGAGGGAGAUCCCCCACACUGGUACUGAGACACGGACCAGACUCCUACGGGAGGGCAGCAGUGAGGAAUAUUGGGACAAAUGGGCGCAAGCCCUGAUCCCAGCCCAUGCGCGUGCAGGAUGACGGU
Molecule: ribosomal RNA, 390 nt
Filed under: uncultured bacterium
Lineage: Bacteria
Description: bacterial SSU rRNA
Rfam family: Bacterial small subunit ribosomal RNA
Source: RNAcentral